RNAcentral lists this transfer-messenger RNA (355 nucleotides) under Planctomycetota. RNAcentral describes it as "GCA-2686595 sp002686595 Standard tmRNA". It matches the Rfam family "transfer-messenger RNA". From Rfam's summary of the family: Bacterial tmRNA, also known as 10Sa RNA or SsrA, is named for its dual tRNA and mRNA-like properties. Its role is to liberate the mRNA from a stalled ribosome. The record is from RNAcentral. RNAcentral also lists the same sequence under 2 other names. Lineage: Bacteria; Pseudomonadati.
GGGGGCGCACUGGUUUCGACCGGUUUCGCGCCGCUCCGAGUCGCGUGUCGGGUACUCCGGGUCACCCCGCAACCUGCCCCGGAAACGGCUUUAAUUGCCAACAACUACUCUCUCGCUGCUUAGUUAAAUAAGCAGCCGUCCCCCGCGGAGUGUCCGCGGCCGCGGGAGGACGCAACAGCGGACUGGCCGGCGAGCAACGCCCCGUGGCGGACCGGCGAGACUUCAGGCGGGGCUGGCCCCAGGGCAGCCCGUCAACCGGCGGCCCGCGGGCGAGAUUCAAACGGCUGACUACACACGUAGACGCUCGGCGCCGGCUCAUUCCGGGACGCGGGUUCGAUUCCCGCCGCCUCCACCA